CCUAGAGUUGUAGGCUUUGCCUGCUAUCUCUUACCCAUGUCUUUUGAGUACCUUCGUUUCCUCGGCGGGUUCGCCCGCCGAUUGGACAAUUUAAACCAUUUGCAGUUGCAAUCAGCGUCUGGAAAAACAUAAUAGUUA
This 138-nucleotide unclassified non-coding RNA is filed under the name soil metagenome. RNAcentral describes it as "partial internal transcribed spacer 1". The record is from RNAcentral.